This is an RNA transcript of Magnolia sinica, 755 nucleotides long. It is a transcript of the gene named signal peptidase complex subunit 2-like, with no coding region annotated. NCBI's taxonomy places the organism in Eukaryota, Viridiplantae, Streptophyta, Magnoliopsida, Magnoliales, Magnoliaceae. The record is from RefSeq and is a predicted model, not a curated record. The transcript is spliced from 3 exons.
AUUGCUUGCGUGCGAGUAUUCUGUCUUCGGACAGUGGAAAUAGGAAAAGCUAGAAAGAAGGAAGAAGAGAGAGAGAGAUGGUGAGCAACAGCAGCAGCUCAUCUCUCAAACCCAACCCUAAAAAAGCUAAUUUGAUGGAUCCUCAUUCCAUCAAACACCUUCUCGACGAAUCCGUCUCCGAGAUUGUCACCGGCCAAGGAUACACCGAAGAUGUGCGUCUGAGCAACAUCAGAUUGCUUGUGGGAACGGUCAUCAUCGCCAUUGCUCUUAUCGUGCAAUUCUACUGUAAGAAGUUCUCAGAAAAUAAAGAUUUCCUCAUCGGAUGCAUCACAUUGUAUCCUUCAAAACCUAAUUCUUGUACAUCUCUCGGAGAAGAAAUCAUCUUCUUUUCAGUGUUUUUGCAGUGUAAUCUAUCUAUUGGAAAUUGGAUUUUAUUUUUUAUUUUUUUGAGAUCUUUGACUCCUUUUUGGCAAGUAUAUCGUCUUCAAUAGAUUGUUGCAGUUGAUCAUCUACAAAAAGGAGAAGAAUGCGAUCCUUUUCACUUAUCCUCUUCCGGGAUCAUUCAACAGCACUGGACUAAUAGUAUCUUCCAAGCUGCCAAGAUUCUCUGACUAGUAUACACUGUCUGUCGCCAGCGCAGAUCCAAAAUCUGUUUCUGCCAGCAAAGCAGUCCAUUUCACAGAGUGUUACCAAGUGGUUAGUUCAUUUGAUAUAUUUUCAAAUUUCUCCUUCCAGGGAUGGAAUGCCAUAAUCCU